This 233-nucleotide ribosomal RNA is filed under the name uncultured bacterium. Its description in RNAcentral is "partial 16S ribosomal RNA". It matches the Rfam family "Bacterial small subunit ribosomal RNA", at positions 118 to 347 of the family's 1533-position model. The record is from RNAcentral.
UGAGCAAUCUGCCCUUCUCUUCGGAAUAAGCGUGGGAAACCGCGUCUAAUGCCGAAUACGACCUCCUUUCGCAUGAUCGGAGGUGGAAAGCUCCGGCGGAGAAGGAUGAGCCCGCGGCCUAUCAGCUUGUUGGUGAGGUAAUAGCUCACCAAGGCGAUGACGGGUAGCCGGCCUGAGAGGGUGACCGGCCACACGUGGGACUGAGACACGGCCCAGACCUCCCGACGGGAGCA